Long non-coding RNA from Bombus pascuorum, 1011 nucleotides. RefSeq lists it as uncharacterized. The transcript is spliced from 2 exons. Lineage: Eukaryota; Metazoa; Arthropoda; Insecta; Hymenoptera; Apidae. The record is from RefSeq and is a predicted model, not a curated record.
GACUUUGAUGUAUAUUGGCUACACGGCUUCCACUUACAAUUACAGGCUUCGAAUAGUUAACAGUUAAUACUGUUGUGAAGUAAGGUUAUUCCGCAGUGCAGUGUUCAUGUUAGAACACGUAGGAAAAAUGUAUUCCCAAAGGUCGACUCGUCUCACGCAAAGCUUUUUCCACGUUAAUUGUUUCCAAUGUACGUAUCGUGUGCUGUUUUGAAAAUACAAGCGUUCCACGCGAUAAAGUAACCGAAGGUAGCAACAUUGCCACCGUGUCUGUUCCCAUGUCGAAUACACGCACUGUCGUUCGUUUGACAAAGUGAUCGUAAACGCGAACACACUUUUAUUGUGCGUACAAAGCAAACGCGUCAAGUUGGUGUGAUUCCCAAAGGUCUUAGCCUUCCACUGACGCAUACCUGAACUUUACCGGUAGGGUAACGAGAAACGUCAGGGAAACGAAGCUUUGUCAGCAAUCUAUUUACUCCGAUCUUAACAUAAACGAAUGGAAGUCGAAUCUUGUUGAUAUACGCCUGUAAGAACUGUAUGGGAUAGAGGAACUUCAGUACGACUGAGAAGAAACUUUUGCCGCGAGAAUAAUUGAUCUUGCUAGACGUGGAAGACGAAUGAUCGUCGAAGUCCGACUAUUGAAAAACCUAAGAAACGCUGACAAAGGAGGGAAUUUUUCAAUGAAAUUCAAUUAGUCCGACAAUUCGUGGAUAUCUUCGCACAUCUUUCUUUAUAAAUGAUUUGAGUGCCCAAUAAAACUACUUGAAUAAUGAUUACAUUAAAUUCAAGAAAACAUUGCAUUAAGUAAAAAUAGGAGAAAUCAACUCUGUCUUAAACGAUACUCGUAAUCAUCGUAUGCAAUGACUUUCAAAAUUGUUGCAACGUCGUUUGAAACUGAACAACUUUUUAACAAUUGAACCGCGUGACCGGUAUUUUUUGAGAAGUUAGAAGCAUUAAUUUACUAGACGACGUAUAAGACAAUUUUCUAAAAAUUGCAACUGGUCAGAAACGCGA